UUGCACGCUGGCGGCAUGCCUUACACAUGCAAGUCGAACGGCAUCGCGGGAAAGCUUGCUUUCCUGGCGGCGAGUGGCGAACGGGUGAGUAACACAUCGGAACGUACCGGCUAGUGGGGGAUAACCCGUCGAAAGACGGGCUAAUACCGCAUACGCUCUUCGGAGGAAAGCAGGGGACCUUUGGGCCUUGCGCUAGCCGAGCGGCCGAUGUCCGAUUAGCUAGUUGGUGGGGUAAAGGCCUACCAAGGCGACGAUCGGUAGCGGGUCUGAGAGGACGAUCCGCCACACUGGGACUGAGACACGGCCCAGACUCCUACGGGAGGCAGCAGUGGGGAAUCUUGGACAAUGGGGGCAACCCUGAUCCAGCAAUGCCGCGGGGGUGAAGAAGGCCUGCGGGUUGUAAAGCCCUUUCGGCAGGGAAGAAAUCGGCGGGGCGAAGAACCCUGCUGGAUGACGGUACCUGAAGAAGAAGCACCGGCUAACUACGU
This 488-nucleotide ribosomal RNA is filed under the name uncultured bacterium. Its description in RNAcentral is "partial 16S ribosomal RNA". It matches the Rfam family "Bacterial small subunit ribosomal RNA", at positions 29 to 506 of the family's 1533-position model. The record is from RNAcentral.